This 301-nucleotide ribosomal RNA is filed under the name uncultured bacterium. Its description in RNAcentral is "partial 16S ribosomal RNA". It matches the Rfam family "Bacterial small subunit ribosomal RNA", at positions 509 to 807 of the family's 1533-position model. The record is from RNAcentral.
CAGUCGCCGCGGUAAUACGGAGGGGGCUAGCGUUGUUCGGAAUUACUGGGCGUAAAGCGCACGUAGGCGGAUGUAUAAGUCAGGGGUGAAAGCCCAGAGCUCAACUCUGGAACUGCCUUUGAUACUGCCUAGCUUGAGCAUGGAAGAGGUGAGUGGAAUUCCGCGUGUAGAAGUGAAAUGCGUAGAUAUGCGGAGGAACACCGGUGGCGAAGGCAGCCCACUGGCCCAAUACUGACGCUCAUGCACGAAAGCGUGGGGAGCAAACAGGAUUAGAUACCCGUGUAGUCCCUGUCUCUUAUAC